AUGGAGAGGAUGACCCACUCCUAUUUCAAGGAGAUUUUCACAAAAGAUCCUACCCUAUCCCCGGAUGAGGUGUUGGAUUGCAUUGCUCCAAAAGUUACAGAGAAAAUGAACAUGAUGUUAUGUAGGCCUUAUUCAGAAGAGGAGAUUUCUAAUGCUUUAUUUCAAAUCGGGCCUCUAAAAGCUCCGGGAUGUGAUGGACUACCUGCAAAGUUUUUCCAACGGAAUUGGGCUCUACUCAAAACUGAAAUUGUUGCUGCGGUUCGUGAGUUCUUUGCGUCUGGGAUUAUGCCGGAUGCUGUCAAUGAUAUGGCUAUAGUGCUAAUUCCUAAGAUUCCUUUCCCAAGGACCUGA
This 351-nucleotide ribosomal RNA is filed under the name Triticum aestivum (bread wheat). RNAcentral describes it as "partial small subunit ribosomal RNA". The record is from RNAcentral. Lineage: Eukaryota; Viridiplantae; Streptophyta; Magnoliopsida; Poales; Poaceae.